AUGCAUGGCCUGUUAUUGAUCAAAAUGUCAUUAUGCAUACAUAACUUUAAUUGAACAUCUUUUAAAGAAGCUAAAAGAAGGGAGAAUCUUCUGCCUUGAUUCCCAGUGUCCAAAUACAAAAGUAUUGACUACUGUCCCUGAUGUGACGAGCAGGAUCUAUUGAAGCCGAACACAUCAUCUUUCAGUUCCAGAUGCAGAAAAAAAUGUGAAAAACUUCAAGGCCCAUUAUUGAGAAAAACUUUCAGCAAAACUAGAGAUCUAAGAGAACUUCCUUAAUCUGAUAAAGAUAAUCUAUGGAGAAUCUACAGAUAACAUAAUGAAUGGUGAAAAACUGAAUUUAUUUUCCCUAAGGUAAGAAAUAAGGUAAGACUGUCACUUCUCACUAUUUUCCCCUCAGUGUUGUACUAGAAUUCACAGCCACUGCAGUAAGACAAGAAAAAGAAAUACAAAGCACAGAUUGGGAAGGAAGAUGAAAAUCUGCCUCUAUUCCUAGAUGACAGGUUAGUGUACAUAGAAAAUACUUGUAACCUAUAAAAAACCAAUAGGUGAGUGUUCCAAAGCCACAGGACACCAGUUGAUAUAUAAAAACCAUUUCUUUUACAAUAUAUAAGCAAUGGACAAUGGGAAACUGAA
This is a long non-coding RNA of Homo sapiens (human), 633 nucleotides long. RefSeq lists it as uncharacterized. The transcript has 3 exons. The record is from RefSeq and is a predicted model, not a curated record. NCBI's taxonomy places the organism in Eukaryota, Metazoa, Chordata, Mammalia, Primates, Hominidae.